This 481-nucleotide ribosomal RNA is filed under the name uncultured bacterium. Its description in RNAcentral is "partial 16S ribosomal RNA". It matches the Rfam family "Bacterial small subunit ribosomal RNA", at positions 28 to 523 of the family's 1533-position model. The record is from RNAcentral.
GACGAACGCUGGCGGCGUGCUUAACACAUGCAAGUCGAACGCUGAAGCCCUUUCGGGGGUGGAUGAGUGGCGAACGGGUGAGUAACACGUGGGUAAUCUGCCCUGCACUCUGGGAUAAGCCUUGGAAACGGGGUCUAAUACCGGAUAGGACACAUCGCCGCAUGGUGUGUGUGUGGAAAGUUCCGGCGGUGCAGGUUGAGCCCGCGGCCUAUCAGCUUGUUGGUGGGGUGAUGGCCUACCAAGGCGACGACGGGUAGCCGGCCUGAGAGGGUGACCGGCCACACUGGGACUGAGACACGGCCCGGACUCCUACGGGAGGCAGCAGUGGGGAAUCUUGCGCAAUGGGCGAAAGCCUGACGCAGCAACGCCGCGUGGGGGAUGACGGCCUUCGGGUUGUAAACCUCUUUCGACCGGGACGAAGGGUGACUGACGGUACCGGUAGAAGAAGCACCGGCUAACUACGUGCCAGCAGCCGCGGUAA